Molecule: ribosomal RNA, 38 nt
Filed under: Trypethelium infraeluteriae
Lineage: Eukaryota; Fungi; Ascomycota; Dothideomycetes; Trypetheliales; Trypetheliaceae
Description: partial 28S ribosomal RNA
Source: RNAcentral
UUAACCUCGGAUCAGGUAGGAAUACCCGCUGAACUUAA